This 1305-nucleotide small RNA is filed under the name Drosophila ananassae. RNAcentral's name for it is "GF27678". Lineage: Eukaryota; Metazoa; Arthropoda; Insecta; Diptera; Drosophilidae. The record is from RNAcentral.
CAACAAACAUUUUUUGACAUUUUCAUUUGUCAGUUAUGAAGCAGACACAGACACACGACGAGAUAGAAAAUCCUCGUCCUUGUCCUGGUCCUGGCCCUGGCCUGUGUACAUUUGUUAUAUCCUUAUCACAAAAUGAUUUGACAGUCGAGACCGAGUCGAGUCGAGGCAGUUGAACCUCGACAGCCCCAAAAUAUGUGUAACACUCGCAUUUCAUUCUCUAUCCCACCGACAGUGACACGUCUUCUAAACUGCUGUCGUUGGAAAUAAUUUCAAUUUCAUUUCCUUGGCUCCUUGGCAAAAAAAAAUCCUUGCGAAAAAAAGAAAAGAAAAUGAAAAUCAAUAGGCAUUUACACCAAAUUGACCUUUCACUCACGAGCAGAUGAAAAUUUCAUAAGCAAUUGAUUGUGCACUUGGAGAGCUGUGAAAUCCCUUUGAAAUAUUGAUGCGGAUCCUGGACAUGGGCUAGGAUUGUAAGGAUUAUUUUCGGAUGAAGGAGCAGGGCAGCUUGUCCUUGUUUACACAUAUUGGAUAAUUAAUGGACCAUUCAAUCUAAACGGUUUAGUGCUGUUCCUGUGACCGCACAGUUUUAUGGCUUCGGCCAGACUAAAGUGCCGCCUAAUAAGCUUAAACUUAAUUAAGAACUUAUCAACAGCUGCGUUAAAAUGCCAAUUUGGCAGGCUUUGCCAGUUGCCAGUUACCAGUUGCCCUUGGCAAAGCCAGCCAGCCAGCCAUCUAUCCCGACCACAGCCACCGAGUUGCGAAGGCCAACAAAUUGCAUUACCCCUGAUUUUACCGCACUACUUUGGCAAACUCGCUCUUUUCUCUGAAUUAAUCGUGGGCUUUAAGGGUCGUCCUUUCGUCCUUUGAAUUAGUUAUUUCCAACGUGGGCAACUUCAAAGGUGUGCUGCGAACAUGUCAUAACAUGGGGAAAUUAAAAUUUACAUCACAACUUAAGCGACGUCCUGGCGCAGCAUCUCGUCCCCAUGGAUACCCGUUUUUUAUCCAAAGUUUUUUUGUGUGUUUGCUUGUUGUUUUUUUUUGUAUUUUGCUCCGUUGCGUUGCUCCUUUUUGGCAGGCAGAGCACUUAAUUUGGCACAUUGCCUUGCAUAUCCUGGCAGCAGGACGACGACAACAAUCCGCUCAGGUGCAGCCACAGUGGCGGCAACAAGCAGCAUUUUGUUGUAAAAUGCAUAAAUUUUUACUACCUGCCAGUAAAGGAAAAACAGCAGCAGCGGCAGCUAGUGUUGCCAAUUUUGGGAAGGAUGGGUAAAAAAUGGCUCAAAGGAAGCAAGGAAUCGAGUACGA